This 202-nucleotide long non-coding RNA is filed under the name Zostera marina. RNAcentral's name for it is "long non-coding RNA (ZMAR_LNC003291)". Lineage: Eukaryota; Viridiplantae; Streptophyta; Magnoliopsida; Alismatales; Zosteraceae. The record is from RNAcentral.
UGAAAUUUAGAGACGGCUUAGGGACGACAAUGAAAAUUUGGGCGCCAAAAAAUUGGUACGGAAAAAAAUUAGGGACGGAUUAGAGACGGCUUGGUCCUGACCCCAUAUAACCCUAAAUUCUAAUUAGCGACGACCAAUGCCGUCUCUAAUCCUUCCCUAAUAAUUAGAGACGGAUAUGAAGGUCGUCUCUAAAAAUUCAGCG